This 71-nucleotide transfer RNA is filed under the name Ovis aries (sheep). It matches the Rfam family "tRNA". From Rfam's summary of the family: Transfer RNA (tRNA) molecules are approximately 80 nucleotides in length. Their secondary structure includes four short double-helical elements and three loops (D, anti-codon, and T loops). Further hydrogen bonds mediate the characteristic L-shaped molecular structure. tRNAs have two regions of fundamental functional importance: the anti-codon, which is responsible for specific mRNA codon recognition, and the 3' end, to which the tRNAs corresponding amino acid is attached (by aminoacyl-tRNA synthetases). tRNAs cope with the degeneracy of the genetic code in two manners: having more than one tRNA (with a specific anti-codon) for a particular amino acid; and 'wobble' base-pairing, i.e. permitting non-standard base-pairing at the 3rd anti-codon position. The record is from Rfam by way of RNAcentral. Lineage: Eukaryota; Metazoa; Chordata; Mammalia; Artiodactyla; Bovidae.
CCCUUGUGAUUUGAGUGGUAAAGCAUCUGCCUGCAAUGCAGGAGACCUGGGUUCGAUCCCUGGAUUGGGAA